AUAGGCAGCACAGCUGUCAGUACCAUUGGGUCGCUCACCAUUUUGAUUUGAUUUGUAUUGAUGAAGUUGGCCAUUGUCUGUGAACAACGAGUUGCUAUUAGCAUUUACUCGUACUGCUUUGAGGUUGUGAUGUCCUUUGUGGUGUACAGCUGCAACUCUUUUGUCCUCUGCAUGAGAAUCAUCAUCUAAAAUGUGCUGCUGUCCAUGGGAGCACUUCCAUUGCCACUAGGAAUUCAGGUCCUUCAAAUGGAUCCCAGAUCAACGGCAAUGAAGUGAUGGAGAAAGAAUCCAUUAGCAACAAACUUUGUAUUUGUGUCUGCCACUGCAGAAGCAGAUGCUGUUGGAGCCUUGCUGGACUCCUGCUGUUCUUUUUCUUAGGAUGGAGACACAUGGCCUGCGGACAGGUGGAGUCCAAGAGUCAGUGAGUGCUGUGACGCUUUGCAGCCACAGAACAGCAGUGUUCUGACUGCCAGCUGCAGGGCAGUGCAAUGGAGCUGCCUGCACCCAGGUUUAUCAUAUGCUCGGCUCAUCCAUCUGUGUCUCAGUCUCCGGUGGACUCAUGAGUUUCAUCAAGAAAACCAUUUUCAAACCAGCAGACCAAAACAGAUCGUUUUCAACUCCCAGCCUCAUCGAGGCUUUGCAGCAGUUUUGCCUCGUGUUUACGAUUUAUGGAUGCAACAGAAACACAGAGCAGACAGAAGUGGUCCAGAGAUCUCCCCAUUGCAGGGUGUGCGCCUUCAAACGCUGCUCAUUCAGUGACCAUUAACCUUGCAAGAAAAGUCAGCAAGCAGACGUUCCAUUACAAUAGGAACAAAUGGUAAAUGAUGGUAUUAAAGGUAACUUUCCAUUACUUCUGGUGAUGUGAACCAGAACUACUUUUAAAUAAUGACUGGCCCCAGCCAAUAAAAACAGAAAUCUGUAUCAAAGAGUGGGCUGUAAUUGCUCUGAUUUUGCUGAGAAAUGAGACCUCCUAUAAGACAGAAACGUGCUUUUGAACAUGGAGGAAAAAGCAGGAGCUCAUUUCAGGGAAGUCCCAAUCCUUUAUGGAUGUUUUCUCCCUAGCUUCCUGCAAAACAAGGUUACUACACUUGCUUAUUGUCAGGGUGUAAUUGCUUCAAAUGGAAUUGGAGAUUAAAGGUGCACACCCAACACUGCACCCUUUACCUUCCUUGCCCCUUCCAUGCAACUACAGGGCUGGGAUCAUCUCCUUCAGGAACAUUUGGUGGGAAUAUCUUGGAUGUACCAAUGUCUGGGAAGGGAACAUCCUAUUUUCAGCAUUUCUCCUGAGCCUCUCAGCUGCCCCAAGCCACCAAGGACUGAGAGCCAAACACUGACACUGCUGCCAAAGCAAUGAAUUCUUUCACCAGCUCCUAAGUACCAUCUGCACUCACGUGUCAUGCGGCCUCAGCACUCCGUGUUCAGCCCUAACGUGAGUGCUUGGCUAUUUGCAGUGCACCAAAAUCAAUAGGCUGGGAAUGAGUCACAUUUACUCACAUUUUGUUUUUGCUGUGCAGAAUUCUCUUUCACCAAAGGAACUCCAGCUCUGCAACAAAAAGCCGUUGCUGACGCCCUUUAAUUACAAUGAAAGGCUGGCUUGGAGAUUUCUUCCAUGUCAACACGUGGCAGUAACAAGAUGGAAGUGAAAAAGCACAGAUAAGUUGGGCGGAGAAGGGAGAAAUAAAUGAUGUCUGUACUACUGAAAAUUUGCCUCUACGUUAAUUCUUGGAGACAAAUUCAAUUUCACUGGCUUCAGAAUCCAGGCAGGUUACUUUGGAAAAUGUCCUACCUGAGAAAUUCUUUGAAGGUACAGAUCCAUUGGAAGUGCUCUUGUAAUUACUGUUAUGUUGUUGCCUCUAUGCUGGAGCAUGGCACUGUGUUCACAUCAUCAUUCAUCAUGCUGCAAGUUCAAUAGUGUCUCCAUGUUAAUUAAAGACUAUUUUUAGUUAUCUCAAAGUUGUUCUGUUUUUUUCUGCCAGCAAUAUAUGUAAUAAACUAGAUGUGAAUCAAAAGAAUUCAGAACCAUGGGAUGUGAAGGGAGUGGGAUUGCCUUUGUAGUCUGGGGGAGAAAAAUGCAUCUUGCAAACUCUGGUAUUAGCAGGAAUUGAAUGCAUUUAUGCGAUUUGACUACAGAAGCCAUUUCCAUAAACGAUCAAUGACCUCUUAUAACUCAAACAGUAUCGAAGCCGAGCAGCACCGCUAGAGACUUUCAAAAAGGUCAGCAAUGAGCAAUUAAGAUGAUGUAAUCCCAGCUGACCCACUAGAAUCGGUACCUAUGCAAGAAGAUUUUGGGGAAAUUUAUUUGAAUUGUCUCCUUUUAUGACCACAGCAAGCUUCCUGGCUCCUUUCCAGGCUGUGUUUGCAGAAAACCCCAAUGUGGCACGAAGAUGACAAUUUCUCCCACUGAACUGAAUGCAGAAGGCUCAGCCCUGGGGGUCUGGAGGUGGGACCAGACACAGAAGGAAAGCAGCAGUGAGUGUUGCCCUGUGCCCCCAUCUCCUCUUCCGUUCUUAUGAGCUGAAAUGUCCACUGAGAUGUGCACACAAUGCUUCCAUAUGGUUGACCAUAAAGUUAUGUGGGCUAGAGCUGCUUUUUUUGUUUUUACUUUCCCUACAACUGCUACAUGGAGAGCUAGUGCUGGUGGAAACCUACUUUGCAAUGGGUGUUGCAUGAAUAAUACAAAGCUGUUGUAAAUGCACUGGAUGAAUAUAAAUGUGCAGUUUUUGAAAGUUUCUUGAUCAAAAGAGCUUAUCCAUAAACCAUUGCAGAAGGGCUUUCAUUGAUUUAGUGGAUAAUACAUAGGAUUUAUAUAAAUGUUGAUAUGUAUAGUUUGGUCUGGAGCCAAAGGUUUCUCCAAAGCGCACUGUGAAACAAAACAAGCCCUCAGCUGCAGGCAGAAAACAUAUGAUUUCCUAAAAUGAGAGAUUUAGCAAUAAAAGCACUUAAAUACAAAACAACUCUUCUUUUCAUGUUAGAAUAAUAAUGAUAAAGAUUUUAAAAUAAAAAUGGGCGCAGAAAGCAGCGCGAUCUGUGAAAAAAUCUUGCAGAAGUAAUUUUUAUUUUUAAGAAGGUCUUUACAAGUAGGUGUUUUUACAUGCAAAUACAAAAAUAGAAUGGCUUUUGAGGAGCUUAAUUUCCUCCAAUUCCUCACAUAUUUCAUCUUUUUUCAAGUAAGUGCUAACAGUGUCAUGAAGUUGUGAGUUGCAGUGCUUUCCCUACAGCAGCUGUGUUUGGUGUCCAGCAAGGAUCACCAUGGUCAGAUAAAGGAAGUGCCAUGCGAAACGUGUGCCCAAAUCACAUCCAUUUAUACUCUGUAAUCUUUGAGCCGUGAUCCAGAAGGCUGAUGAUAAUCCAGGACUAAAUGUGUACCUUUUACACCACAUUAACUGACUUUCUUCUAGCUUGUCAAACAGCUUUGGGAUUUAUUAUGUGUUUAUUGUAUGCCUCACCAGUUUCUAUCCAGGGGACUGCAUAUUUAUUUGUAGCUUCCAUCUCUGAGCGUUGAACUUUGCUUAACGAAGCAUAAUUAAAUCAUGGAUCUUCAUGCUACAAGGCUGCACGCUUUGUGUGUUAUUUGAAACACAGGGAUUUGGGAGACCCAGGUUGCCAACACGAGCAAAUCCAGGAAUAGGCAGAAGGAAUUGGAGAUCCUCUGCUUUGGGUUUUGUUUAUUUCUUUGGUUUUGCUUGGUCUGUUUUCUUCCUAACUUCUGUCUUUUUUUGGGCUAACAACUUGAUCUCCCCUCACAAACCAGGGUUAGCAGUGGCCUACAACAAAAUUUACAGGCGUAGUCAGUACAUCAUUUCUCCUGCAGAAGUCAACUGUGAAGGCAGACAUAUGGACAUAUGGAACACAUGCAAGAGCUGGGUAAGCUCCUGAAGGAAGUGCUAAAUAGAAAAUCAGUGCAGUGAGUGGAUGGCUCUUCUUCUUGAUGCUAAUGCAAACACAGAUACAGACUUUGGCUCCUUUACGGGUUGUCAUAAAUUAUAGUGAACAAAUUAUGCUGUUUCCUAUCACUUUAAUUAACUUUGGAUCAGAUUCUGCUGUGUUGGUUAAAAAUAGCAGCUUUCACAAAAGGAGAAGUUGGAAAUAUUAUUGUCAAAGCAAUUUUGGAUUAAAAUGGGGUUGAUAAGUAUUGAGAAAGAAGAAUUUUACGGUGCCUUUGUGCAUUUCUGUGUAGAAAGGACGAUCUCAUUGUACAUGUCACAUGUUUCAGAUGUGCUGACACCCAUGAGAAGAGCCCUCCUCAGGAGGAUUCCAGCCCUGGGCAGCUGAGCGGAGGCCCUUGUGAUGCUGUGGAUAAGCUGAAAUAACUACUCUGGCCAAGGCAAGCUUAUCUAAAUGAAAACCUGCCUUGCAAACCCUUUGGAGCCUUUCCCAUCACCAGCACAAAAGCCCAUAUUUAAGAUAGAAAAUGAAAUGUUUCAGCUUUCAAUUUCAAACGAAUGCAGUUAUUUCAGUUCUUAAAAAAAAAAAUCAGAUGGCAGAUUAUUAAAAAUUGCUGCGCUGCCCAAAAAGAGGACUUACAGCAAAAUUCCACGUGUUACUCAAACAAAAACCAUCCACACUUCUCUGGGAUGAAGUGGUGGCAGUACCAAUGAAGAUGUGAAGUCUCUGUUUCCAUUCUCCAGCAGCACGGCUGUGUGUUGGGUGCUGAGGCUGAGCGCAUCGUGCACCAUCGCUCCAUUUAGCAACCUGUUCAUCUGGAUGGGAUGCCCAGUGGGGACUCUGGCAGACAUCAGCCCCUGGUGCUUUGAGCAGCCCUACACCGUGCUGGGCUGAUAGGAGAGAGCUGCAGGGUCACGUUUCCCCUGCUAGUCACGUCAGAUUCAUCUGGGGCAGAAACUGGGACUUGAGAACCCGAUUAUAAGUUUGCUGUAUCUCUGCCAAGUCUCCAGGCUUCAUUUAGCCAACACUCUGAAUUAAUUUUCCCAUUAAAUGGAUGCUUUCUUAAAAUAUAGGGAGAAAAUCUUUUUCGCUGAUAAGAUUGUUCUGCGAACCGUCCCUAAUGAGCUGCUGUGUCAUUCCCUCAUGCCCAGACUGUUCCAGUAUUAAGCAUUCUAGUCUUCCACUUCCCUUUAAGAAUGUUUCACUUUAGCUGGGACCUUCUUCAAAUGAAUUUCAAAAGCUGUUAGGAAAACAUUUUAUCUCUUUGUUUCGAUUCACUUUUGUUCAGGUGGGUGUUGGAUCUACAGGGGUUAUUCACAGCGAAUUCCAGGCGAUUCCCAGAGAUUUGGGAUCCUCAAAACGUGGCUGUGAUUAUGAUUUUUUGUUUGGCUGAGGAUCUUUCACUCAUUUCGUGGGAUGUCUUAGGUGAUUUAUCGCAAUCCAUCUCCAUUCUGCGGCGCAUCUUUUCCAUAUCCUGGGAGAACAGAUCAGAUUCUCAGUGUGGUACUAUGGCAGCUCCCACCUCUUUUAAACCAAAGUCUCACUGGGAGGAAUUAAGUAAAUUAGAAAAACUAUCCAAGCAAGAGCUUUCUCUCCCUGGACCAGGUAAUGCCAUAGCUGGUAUUUAUCUGCAGAAAGAACUCUCACAUCCCAAUGAUUUUGCUUUUUAGUUUUUUACGCUAUGAAGUAUCAUAAUAUUGCUUAAUAGUGUCAUAUUUUGCAGCCUGAUCCCCUUUUCUUUUCCUUUCCCUUUGUGUUUGAUGUAGUUGGGAGUCUCAGAGCCUGAAGACUGUGCUCACAAGGCUGCCUUCUCCCCUUGCCAUGCAGAUAAAGCAUACUGUUUGUUUCACCCAAACAGUGCAAACUCAGUGGUGUAAAGAAUUACAAAGUCCUGCGUGUAAUGUACAUUCUCUUUACAUUUUCCAUUAUCUCCUUUGCAGCCUAGUGCAUUUGUCACUGGUUUUCUCUCCUCUUGGCUUAAUGAGACUUUUUUUUUUU
This is a long non-coding RNA of Lagopus muta (rock ptarmigan), 5883 nucleotides long. RefSeq lists it as uncharacterized. The transcript has 5 exons. Lineage: Eukaryota; Metazoa; Chordata; Aves; Galliformes; Phasianidae. The record is from RefSeq and is a predicted model, not a curated record.